ACGUGAGCAACCUGCCCCUGACUCUGGGAUAAGCGCUGGAAACGGCGUCUAAUACUGGAUACGAGUAGCGGCCGCAUGGUCAGUUACUGGAAAGAAUUUUGGUUGGGGAUGGGCUCGCGGCCUAUCAGCUUGUUGGUGAGGUAAUGGCUCACCAAGGCGUCGACGGGUAGCCGGCCUGAGAGGGUGACCGGCCACACUGGGACUGAGACACGGCCCAGACUCCUACGGGAGGCAGCAGUGGGGAAUAUUGCACAAUGGGCGGAAGCCUGAUGCAGCAACGCCGCGUGAGGGAUGACGGCCUUCGGGUUGUAAACCUCUUUUAGCAGGGAAGAAGCGAAAGUGACGGUACCUGCAGAAAAAGCGCCGGCUAACUACGUGCCAGCAGCCGCGGUAAUACGUAGGGCGCAAGCGUUAUCCGGAAUUAUUGGGCGUAAAGAGCUCGUAGGCGGUUUGUCGCGUCUGCUGUGAAAUCCCGAGGCUCAACCUCGGGCCUGCAGUGGGUACGGGCAGACUAGAGUGCGGUAGGGGAGAUUGGAAUUCCUGGUGUAGCGGUGGAAUGCGCAGAUAUCAGGAGGAACACCGAUGGCGAAGGCAGAUCUCUGGGCCGUAACUGACGCUGAGGAGCGAAAGGGUGGGGAGCAAACAGGCUUAGAUACCCUGGUAGUCCACCCCGUAAACGUUGGGAACUAGUUGUGGGGUCCAUUCCACGGAUUCCGUGACGCAGCUAACGCAUUAAGUUCCCCGCCUGGGGAGUACGGCCGCAAGGCUAAAACUCAAAGGAAUUGACGGGGACCCGCACAAGCGGCGGAGCAUGCGGAUUAAUUCGAUGCAACGCGAAGAACCUUACCAAGGCUUGACAUAUACGAGAACGGGCCAGAAAUGGUCAACUCUUUGGACACUCGUAAACAGGUGGUGCAUGGUUGUCGUCAGCUCGUGUCGUGAGAUGUUGGGUUAAGUCCCGCAACGAGCGCAACCCUCGUUCUAUGUUGCCAGCACGUAAUGGUGGGACUCAUGGGAUACUGCCGGGGUCAACUCGGAGGAAGGUGGGGAUGACGUCAAAUCAUCAUGCCCCUUAUGUCUUGGGCUUCACGCAUGCUACAAUGGCCGGUACAAAGGGCUGCAAUACCGUGAGGUGGAGCGAAUCCCAAAAAGCCGGUCCCAGUUCGGAUUGAGGUCUGCAACU
Molecule: ribosomal RNA, 1183 nt
Filed under: Microbacterium sp. WLJ054
Lineage: Bacteria; Bacillati; Actinomycetota; Actinomycetes; Micrococcales; Microbacteriaceae
Description: bacterial SSU rRNA
Rfam family: Bacterial small subunit ribosomal RNA
Source: RNAcentral